AAAUCCAGAGUCAUCAAAGCACAAUAGUGAAAAGGCAAAUUAAGAUUUAAAUGCUUUCUAGCACACAAAAUAAUCAGUAACAGGAUAGACUCCAUGAAUGUUUCAAAAUGAUCUUGGAGUACUUAUUCCAUAACAUAAAAAAGCUUUACAACUGCUUGUACGCUGGGGCUCUAUGACAUUCUCGUACCCUUGAAGCCCCUGACAGAACUUUAAAGGUAGGACACCUUCUAAAAAUAAAAUUAAAUAAAAAUAAAGGCAUUCAAGUUACACUUCUGGAACAUAAUUUGCCUUCUUUUUAGCAGCCAUCUCCUUCAAGCUCUCCCUUCUUCCCCUUGGGACUUGGAUGCUGGAGCCUGCCUUCAGUUCACAAGUUUGGGAAGCCUUGCUCUCACCUCCUGCUACCUCUGUGUAACCUCUGUGCAUCACAACGUGUCAUCUGCUCACUGCCAUAGACCAGUGCUGCUGCCCAGUUAGACAUUCAAGAAAGUACUGCCAUCAGUGAGAAGGGCAAAAAUCAGAAAUCUCAAUGUUGCUGUUCAGUGGAAUCAGGAAAACAUAUGUCUUGUGGUAAAGAAAGGUCCUCCUUGCACUGAAAUACCUGGAACGUACAAUGAGAACAACUGAAGAUGAAUAUCCCUUCUGUGGAAGGUGAUAGCUGACGCAUUGGAAGAAAUGGUUUCUUACAGUGAGAUCUCUUGUAUCAAGACACAAGAUCUGUAGGACUGGGCAACCUUUCAGCAACAACCAUCAGAGCUGGGAAUAAACCCAUGUCUCCAGUAUACAGAAGAUAACUGAAGUGAAAAAGGCUGUCAAUCACAGAGUGAAGUUAUAACCUGGAAGAGUCCAAGAAUACUCCGCAGUACUGACUUGGGACUACUGGAAAGAAAUAUUAGAUCUAUUUGCUCUGGGUGAUGAUCUCCAUUUUUUGCAACAGAGGCUUUAUAUCAGCCUGAAAAGCUUAAUGAGAGGAUGAAUUUCUGUGGAAAGACAUAACUUUUUACUUAAAAAAACCCCAACAAACCAACAAAAAGCAUCCUACCAAAUUUCUAGUUAACACUGAAGUUGUUGAAGGUUGUCUCUUCAAAAGACAGUUUAAAUAGUAAGGGUGCAUAAGAUUAUGCAGUCCUAGAGUGCUAUUUUUAUUUGGUAGUUUGUAAUUAUUUCACACCUCAGGAAAAAAAGGAAGUCUCUAAGUAAAAUUUCUGCAUUGGAUUCUAUCUGACAGUCCUGGCUUGGCAGCAAGUCUACAAAUUCAAAACCAACUGUGUAUACAACACUUAAGACCAUUGAAACAUUUAGCUGUUGCUUUGUAUGGAUUUUAUCAGACCUAUGGCUGUUGAUAGCAUCACAAGAGCAUCUAUAAUGUGUUUCAGACGAAUAAAAGGUACUUUUUCCUUUCUGUAACUAUUGAGACAGGCAUGAAACAUGACAGGUUUGGCUGUCAUUGUUGUGCUUCUACAACUGAAUGGGAAAGAAAAUGCUGAAAUCGUCUCCUUUUUUCGUUAUGAGAGUUGCUUAUCUAAUUUCUUUGUUAUUGAGCCAUUUUUUUCCAUCCCACAGGUGGAGUCUACACCAGCUCAAGUGUGCUUUUCUGAAAGAGAAGGUAGUAGAGUGGAUCCAGUGGCUCAGACCCUUGAGAACGUUCCUAAGCUAAUAAAAUCACAAGCUUACAAUAUAGAAGAAGAGGGAAAAAAUAUUCUGCUGAAGGAAAACUCUGCUUUUGUGCCCAUGCCCAAGCCUGUAACAGGAAAAUGAUUUUUGCAAUAUCAUCUCUACACUAUACCUUACAGGGAAGAGAAAGCUGACACUCACACUCCCAACUCUCUGAGGAGUCAGGGUCCAUUAAUGACAGCACCUAUGAAGGGCAAGGAAAACCUGAC
Long non-coding RNA from Cuculus canorus (common cuckoo), 1880 nucleotides. RefSeq lists it as uncharacterized. The record is from RefSeq and is a predicted model, not a curated record. Lineage: Eukaryota; Metazoa; Chordata; Aves; Cuculiformes; Cuculidae. The transcript has 3 exons.